UACGGAAGGCAGCAGUGGGGAAUAUUGCACAAUGGGCGCAAGCCUGAUGCAGCCAUGCCGCGUGUGUGAAGAAGGCCUUCGGGUUGUAAAGCACUUUUGUCCGGAAAGAAAAGCUUAGGGUUAAUAACCUUGAGUCAUGACGGUACCGGAAGAAUAAGCACCGGCUAACUUCGUGCCAGCAGCCGCGGUAAUACGAAGGGUGCAAGCGUUACUCGGAAUUACUGGGCGUAAAGCGUGCGUAGGUGGUUUGUUAAGUCUGAUGUGAAAGCCCUGGGCUCAACCUGGGAAUGGCAUUGGAAACUGGCUUACUAGAGUGCGGUAGAGGGGUGUGGAAUUCCCGGUGUAGCAGUGAAAUGCGUAGAUAUCGGGAGGAACAUCUGUGGCGAAGGCGACACCCUGGGACCAGCACUGACACUGAGGCACGAAAGCGUGGGGAGCAAACAGGAUUAGAUAACC
This 456-nucleotide ribosomal RNA is filed under the name uncultured bacterium. RNAcentral's name for it is "bacterial SSU rRNA". It matches the Rfam family "Bacterial small subunit ribosomal RNA", at positions 340 to 787 of the family's 1533-position model. The record is from RNAcentral.